GACGAACGCUGGCGGCGUGCCUAAUACAUGCAAGUUGAGCGCUGAAGGUUGGUACUUGUACCAACUGGAUGAGCAGCGAACGGGUGAGUAACGCGUGGGGAAUCUGCCUUUGAGCGGGGGACAACAUUUGGAAACGAAUGCUAAUACCGCAUAAAAACUUUAAACACAAGUUUUAAGUUUGAAAGAUGCAAUUGCAUCACUCAAAGAUGAUCCCGCGUUGUAUUAGCUAGUUGGUGAGGUAAAGGCUCACCAAGGCGAUGAUACAUAGCCGACCUGAGAGGGUGAUCGGCCACAUUGGGACUGAGACAUGGCCCAAACUCCUACGGGAGGCAGCAGUAGGGAAUCUUCGGCAAUGGACGAAAGUCUGACCGAGCAACGCCGCGUGAGUGAAGAAGGGUUUCGGAUCGUAAAACUCUGUUGGUAGAGAAGAACGUUGGUGAGAGUGGAAAGCUCAUCAAGUGACGGUAACUACCCAGAAAGGGACGGCUAACUACGUG
Molecule: ribosomal RNA, 497 nt
Filed under: uncultured bacterium
Lineage: Bacteria
Description: partial 16S ribosomal RNA
Rfam family: Bacterial small subunit ribosomal RNA
Source: RNAcentral